CAAGCCCUACGGGACGCAGCAGUGAGGAAUAUUGGUCAAUGGUCGGGAGACUGAACCAGCCAAGCCGCGUGAGGGAGGAAGGUACAGAGUAUCGUAAACCUCUUUUGUCAGGGAACAAAGACUGGGACGCGUCCCCGGAUGAGUGUACCUGAAGAAAAAGCAUCGGCUAACUCCGUGCCAGCAGCCGCGGUAAUACGGAGGAUGCGAGCGUUAUCCGGAUUUAUUGGGUUUAAAGGGUGCGCAGGCGGUCUGUUAAGUCAGCGGUCAAAGCCCGGGGCUCAACCCCGGCCCGCCGUUGAAACUGG
Molecule: ribosomal RNA, 305 nt
Filed under: uncultured bacterium
Lineage: Bacteria
Description: bacterial SSU rRNA
Rfam family: Bacterial small subunit ribosomal RNA
Source: RNAcentral